AGGGUUCCCAGCUUCCUCCUGUUUGGGCUCAGUGUUUCCUCUGUGUCCUCCCUCAGUCUCCUCUCAAUCUUCCCUCCAAGAUCUGCUGGGAGUGGGCCAGACUUCCCAUGUCCCUGACUGUCAGCAGCAGAUGUUCCUCCUCUAGACCACCAUCUUGAAUCCAGAUUCACUCCACUCUCUUCUUGCUGCAAUAUCUCUGAGAAGAAGCCGUAGGGGAUUGUUCUCCAGUCUUGACUUUGAGAACUUGGUAGAGCUCCUGAAGGCUCACCUGAUAAGAGAUGUAUGUCACAAUCUGCUCACCCUGGCAUUUCUCUAAAUAGAAGGUUCAUCUGUCUGAAUAUAGAUAUCAAGAAGUGGCAGAGUAUCAGAGGAGAAAGAUAUCAAGAAAUAGAAUAUUCAAGCUGUUUCAACUUCUACCCGUUCCACAUUUCCGAAGCUACUUCCACAUUUCAGGUAGCAAGAAACAGGCCUCUGAAAUUUAAGAACCACAAAACAAUAAAAGAAGUAAACUCUUUUGUUGAAAAGCUCCAAUUCCCCUGUAAACGUCUCAUUCAGAGUCUAAUUGUAACCCAAUUAAGAAAAUUAAGAUGAGUAGAAACAGCUGGAACAGAAGGCACUUGGGGUGAAGUGUACCCUCUGCAGUCAUUAUUUGAUGGAGAUCAUUACCCAACUCUACACACAGCACAUGAUAUUUAAUAUGAUUGGACUAAUUUAUAUCUGAAAAGAAUAAAAGUAUGUUAUGUAAAUAAA
This is a long non-coding RNA of Homo sapiens (human), 750 nucleotides long. NCBI's taxonomy places the organism in Eukaryota, Metazoa, Chordata, Mammalia, Primates, Hominidae. The record is from Ensembl.